GCUGCUGUAGCUCAGUCGGUAGAGCGCAUCCUUGGUAAGGAUGAGGUCACCAGUUCGAAUCUGGUCAGCAGCU
This 73-nucleotide transfer RNA is filed under the name Firmicutes bacterium CAG:555. It matches the Rfam family "tRNA". Rfam says of the family: Transfer RNA (tRNA) molecules are approximately 80 nucleotides in length. The record is from Rfam by way of RNAcentral. Lineage: Bacteria; Bacillati; Bacillota. RNAcentral also lists the same sequence under 1 other name.